CUAUAGGGAUAACAGCAUUAUAUUUUUUAAAAGUUCAUAUUAAAAAAAAUGAUUGUGACCUCGAUGUUGAAUUAUAUUUUCUUUAUUAAUGCAAUAAUUAUAAAAGUAGAUCUGUUCGAUCUUUAAAAUAUUACAUGAUUUGAGUUCAAACCGGUGUAAACCAGGUUGGUUUCUAUCUUUUUAUAAAUUCAUAUAUAUAUAUAUAUAUGUAUAUAUAUAUAUAUAUAUAUAUAUAAAUUUUUCAAGUACGAAAGGAAAAAAAAAUUUUUAUUUUAAUUAAUUAGCAAUUAAUAUGCAUUAGAUUUAGAAUCUAAAUAAACUAUU
RNAcentral lists this unclassified non-coding RNA (324 nucleotides) under Anelosimus eximius. Its description in RNAcentral is "partial contains tRNA-Leu and 16S ribosomal RNA". The stretch from base 1 to 177 matches the Rfam family "Bacterial large subunit ribosomal RNA", at positions 2466 to 2642 of the family's 2925-position model. The record is from RNAcentral. Lineage: Eukaryota; Metazoa; Arthropoda; Arachnida; Araneae; Theridiidae.